RNAcentral lists this ribosomal RNA (683 nucleotides) under Pseudovibrio sp. AU492_Ted2_MB20NH4. RNAcentral describes it as "bacterial SSU rRNA". It matches the Rfam family "Bacterial small subunit ribosomal RNA", at positions 60 to 789 of the family's 1533-position model. The record is from RNAcentral. Lineage: Bacteria; Pseudomonadati; Pseudomonadota; Alphaproteobacteria; Hyphomicrobiales; Stappiaceae.
AGUCGAACGGAUCCUUCGGGAUUAGUGGCAGACGGGUGAGUAACGCGUGGGAAGCUACCUUGUGGUAGGGGACAACAGUUGGAAACGACUGCUAAUACCCUAUGAGCCCUAUGGGGGAAAGAUUUAUCGCCAUGAGAUGUGCCCGCGUUAGAUUAGCUAGUUGGUAAGGUAAUGGCUUACCAAGGCGACGAUCUAUAGCUGGUCUGAGAGGAUGAUCAGCCACACUGGGACUGAGACACGGCCCAGACUCCUACGGGAGGCAGCAGUGGGGAAUAUUGGACAAUGGGGGCAACCCUGAUCCAGCCAUGCCGCGUGUGUGAUGACGGCCUUAGGGUUGUAAAGCACUUUCAGCAGUGAAGAUAAUGACAUUAACUGCAGAAGAAGCCCCGGCUAACUUCGUGCCAGCAGCCGCGGUAAUACGAAGGGGGCUAGCGUUGUUCGGAAUCACUGGGCGUAAAGAGUACGUAGGCGGACUGAUAAGUUAGGGGUGAAAUCCCAAGGCUCAACCUUGGAACUGCCUUUGAUACUGUCAGUCUUGAGAUCGAGAGAGGUGAGUGGAACUCCGAGUGUAGAGGUGAAAUUCGUAGAUAUUCGGAAGAACACCAGUGGCGAAGGCGGCUCACUGGCUCGAUACUGACGCUGAGGUACGAAAGCGUGGGGAGCAAACAGGAUUAGAUACCCUG